This 276-nucleotide ribosomal RNA is filed under the name uncultured bacterium. RNAcentral describes it as "partial 16S ribosomal RNA". It matches the Rfam family "Bacterial small subunit ribosomal RNA", at positions 28 to 301 of the family's 1533-position model. The record is from RNAcentral.
GAUGAACGCUAGCGGCAGGCCUAAUACAUGCAAGCUGAACGGCAAGAUUUGUAGCAAUACGAGUCCCAGAGUAGCGUAAGGGUGCGUAACACGUAUGCAAUCUGCCCGCAACAGGAGGAUAGCUUAGCGAAAGUUGAGAUAAGACUCCAUAAGAUCACGAGAGGGCAUCUGAUUGUGAUUAAACUACAAGGGGUUGCGGAUGAGCAUGCGUCUGAUUAGUUAGUUGGCGGGGUAACGGCCCACCAAGACGAUGAUCAGUAGGGGAACUGAGAGGUU